UUGAAAUAAAUCUGAUGAGUUGUUGCUGGCUCUCUAGGGAGCAUGUGCACGCUUGUCAUCUUUAUAUCUCCACCUGUGCACAUUUUGUAGUCCUGGAUAUUUUUUCUGAAUGCUUGUCACUCAGGUUUGAGGAUUGACCUUCGUUUCUCUCCUUACAUUUCCAGGUCUAUGUUUCUUCAUAUAUACCCUAAUGUAUGUCAUAGAAUGUAUCUCAUGGGACUUUGUGCCUAUAAAUUUAUACAA
RNAcentral lists this unclassified non-coding RNA (243 nucleotides) under Phlegmacium bulbolatens. RNAcentral's name for it is "internal trascribed spacer 1". Lineage: Eukaryota; Fungi; Basidiomycota; Agaricomycetes; Agaricales; Cortinariaceae. The record is from RNAcentral.